UACGUAGGGGCCUAGCGUUGUCCGGAUUUAUUGGGCGUAAAGCGCACGUAGGCGGCUUUGCAAGUCGGAUGUGAAAUCCCUCGGCUCAACCAAGGAAGUGCAUCCGAAACUGCAGAGCUUGAGUACUUAAGAGGAUCGCGGAAUUCCCGGUGUAGAGGUGAAAUUCGUAGAUAUCGGGAGGAACACCAGUGGCGAAGGCGGCGAUCUGGGAAGAUACUGACGCUGAGGUGCGAAAGCGUGGGGAGCAAACAGG
RNAcentral lists this ribosomal RNA (253 nucleotides) under uncultured bacterium. RNAcentral's name for it is "partial 16S ribosomal RNA". It matches the Rfam family "Bacterial small subunit ribosomal RNA", at positions 524 to 776 of the family's 1533-position model. The record is from RNAcentral.